RNAcentral lists this ribosomal RNA (386 nucleotides) under uncultured eukaryote. RNAcentral's name for it is "SSU rRNA". It matches the Rfam family "Eukaryotic small subunit ribosomal RNA", at positions 587 to 972 of the family's 1831-position model. The record is from RNAcentral.
AGCUCCAAUAGCGUAUAUUAAAAUUGUUGCGGUUAAAAAGCUCGUAGUUGGAUCUGCGGCAUUUUGGAUCUCGGUCCCAUAUAGUUGUGGUGUACUGAGUAUCCGUGCCUACCUCUCUGAUAUUCGUCGGAUGCUCUUAAUCGGGUGCCGAUGCGAUCAGACAGUUUACUUUGAAAAAAUUAGAGUGCUCAAAGCAGGCGUUUCGCCUGAAUAGUGGUGCAUGGAAUAAUGGAAUAGGACCUCGGUUCUAUUUUGUUGGUUUUCGGAACUCCGAGGUAAUGAUAAAGAGGGACAGACGGGGGCAUUCGUAUUGCGACGUUAGAGGUGAAAUUCUUGGAUCGUCGCAAGACGGACUACUGCGAAAGCAUUUGCCAAGAAUGUUUUCA